UCCCCGAUAGCUCAGCGGUAGAGUAGGUGACUGUUAAUCACUUGGUCGUUCGUUCGAAUCGAACUCGGGGAGCCA
This 75-nucleotide transfer RNA is filed under the name Sphingomonas sp. RNAcentral's name for it is "tRNA-Asn". It matches the Rfam family "tRNA". Rfam says of the family: Transfer RNA (tRNA) molecules are approximately 80 nucleotides in length. Their secondary structure includes four short double-helical elements and three loops (D, anti-codon, and T loops). RNAcentral also lists the same sequence under 3 other names. Lineage: Bacteria; Pseudomonadati; Pseudomonadota; Alphaproteobacteria; Sphingomonadales; Sphingomonadaceae. The record is from RNAcentral.